Tolypothrix sp. PCC 7601 is the source of this 62-nucleotide non-coding RNA. NCBI's taxonomy places the organism in Bacteria, Bacillati, Cyanobacteriota, Cyanophyceae, Nostocales, Tolypothrichaceae. The record is from Rfam.
CGGUAGAUGCACCCUGAUAACUAACUCCCCUAGUAGGCUCAUACCUACUGGGGGUUUUUUCU